This 34-nucleotide ribosomal RNA is filed under the name Oreocarya virgata. Its description in RNAcentral is "partial 28S ribosomal RNA". The record is from RNAcentral. RNAcentral also lists the same sequence under 3 other names. Lineage: Eukaryota; Viridiplantae; Streptophyta; Magnoliopsida; Boraginales; Boraginaceae.
GGUCAGGCGGGAUUACCCGCUGAAUUUAAGCAUA